GAUCUGGCUCAGGACGAACGCUGGCGGCGUGCCUAAUACAUGCAAGUAGAACGCUGAAGGAGAAGCUUGCUUCUCUGGAUGAGUUGCGAACGGGUGAGUAACGCGUAGGUAACCUGCCUGGUAGCGGGGGAUAACUAUUGGAAACGAUAGCUAAUACCGCAUAAUAGUAGAUGUUGCAUGACAUUUGCUUAAAAGGUGCAAUUGCAUCACUACCAGAUGGACCUGCGUUG
This 230-nucleotide ribosomal RNA is filed under the name uncultured bacterium. RNAcentral's name for it is "partial 16S ribosomal RNA". It matches the Rfam family "Bacterial small subunit ribosomal RNA", at positions 15 to 238 of the family's 1533-position model. The record is from RNAcentral.